GAGUCUGUAGCUCAGUUGGAUAGAGCAACGGCCUUCUAAGCCGUAGGUCGAGGGUUCGAAUCCCCCCAGGCUCG
Molecule: transfer RNA, 74 nt
Organism: Clostridium sp. D5
Lineage: Bacteria; Bacillati; Bacillota; Clostridia; Eubacteriales; Clostridiaceae
Rfam family: tRNA
About the family: Transfer RNA (tRNA) molecules are approximately 80 nucleotides in length. Their secondary structure includes four short double-helical elements and three loops (D, anti-codon, and T loops).
Source: Rfam